UGGGCCAAUUCGGCACUGGGCGACGAUAUUGGUAGUUUACUCUCUACUCUCGCAGGCUUUUAAUGGGGGUGUCCGUCUAUUGGAAGGCCAGCCGUGCGGCUAGGCUAACCAGCGACGGUCUUCUAGUUUUCCCACUAGGAGGAAAAUAAGGUCAUCUGACCUUACAAUUCAUAUAUGUAUGUUUGUGACAAGUGGUGUUUUGUUUUAUUUAUCGGGUAAACGGACAUAGAACAACACUGGCACGCAGUCUAGGCGUAACUUGGCGAUAGUCUGCACAGGACUGGGCGCUACCCUUCACGAACAUAUUAGCAAGGCUCUGGACUUGCUUCCAUUGUUUGCCGUGGAGGUCUUUGGGUUCUAAUUCUCCAGGGGGUUCAGACACUGAGUCCAUCUUCUGUGUCAGUAACAUCACCGGUGUGAGUACUGCAGGCAUCUCAGAAUCAGAAGACACAGGGACCAGUGGUCGCGCGUUCAUAAUACCCAUAACUUCAGCCAUAAGAGUGGUGAGGACCUUGUGUGAGUGAUGAGUAGAGUCCACCUUGAGAAGCAUGGCAUCGCGGAUGCGGCAGGCCACCCCAAUCAUCCUCUCCCACACUCACCCCAUGUGGGGGAUUGAAGGUCCAGGUGCAGCUGUGAUUUUGAAGUCCUGCGAGAAAUAAUUGUCCAUGGCCCGAAGACAUCUAGCCCGACGUGAGUGAAUGGAGGAUCCAAGGAGAGUCUAUCCACAGCCCAGCUGACCGGACUGCACCUUCAGUGAAAUGACGUCCCUGGCAGCGGUUGAGACAUCUGACAUCUGACAGUUCCAGACAUCUGGAUCCAGAGUUGGCGACUUGCUCAGAGUGACUGGCAUCCUGAACCAAAAGGGCAACCACAGCAUUUUUCAGCGCCAUGCAAUAACCUCUGGUCAACGCCUAGUUGGUCAGGGGUUUAUCCUACAGCAAGAUAAUGACCCAGAACAUACCUCCAGGCUAUGUCAGAACUACCUUAGAAGAAAAGAACAAGACGGUAGGCUUCAAAUCAUGGAAUGGCCAGCACAGUCUCCGGACUUAUACCCCAUCGAGCUGGCUUGGGUUGAACUGGAGAGAAGGGUGAAAGCAAAGUAACCUACAAGUGCAAUGCAUUUGUGGGAACUUCUGCAAUAGUGUUGGGAAGAUCUUUCCGAACAAUAUUUGACAUUGUAGACUGAAUGCCACAAGUGUGUUUUGUGAUUUGAACCCGGGUCUGUCACUCAUCCAAAAAGUUCGAAAAGCAAACUUGCUACCGAGUGAGCUAUGAAGUCCAUUAUUUUUCCAUUUUGUGUGUGUAUCCGAUGUUUUUCUUGGGUGAUGUACCUAAAUGUACAAUGGGGAGACUUAGUCUUUGUGGGCCUGGAGCAUGUAUGAUGAUGUAAUCAGGCAGGAUGAAGAAGGAAAAAAUGCAAAAUCCCUAAGCUUGGAGCUUUAUUGUGUGGACAUGUGAAGUUGUUUGUGAAUUCUCUUGAAAUGGGGUCAGAAGGUAGAGAAAUUAAUGUUUUAAAGGGCUGAGUGUCUGUGGUCAUUGUGGUUAUUUCUUUAGGGAACCCUGAAAAGUGCCAAAUUCUCUGUGCUAUAUAGGUAUGGGCCAUGCCACCCCACCCAGCCGUAACAUGGCAGGAUGGCAUACCUACCAUUCCAAUUAUAGGGGAAAACAUGGCAAAACCUAACAUAGUAGAAUGUAGGGAUGUAUCCGAAUCCGAAUACGGUAUUAUAUAUACGGUACGGAAUUCUGGAAAGCACAAAUAAUGCGAUGGAAACAGAUAUUUCUUCUACCCGAAGUUGCUCGUUAUUAUUCGGUUUUGGGGGAAAAAAAGUAAGCUCCAUGUCGAGUUCUCAUAGCCUCUAUCUAACGUUACAUGGGCAGAGAGGGAGAGGGGGGGCGGCACCAGUUACGCGUGGCUGCUAGCUGUAUCUGGAACUCCGGCACAUAGCAGCUGCAGUAGGCUAUAUGCCUAUCGUUAUUAGACUACUGCAGCUGCUUAGUGCACAAAGUUAGCUAGCUAAAGAGAUCGGAUUCAUUUAAGCCGCAUUUCCACCCGAAGUACCCAGAACUUUUAUUCCCAGGAACUACUAUUCAAGGAACUAAAAGGUUCCUUCAGCCCAUUGUUGUCUGUGUUUCUACCGCGGUCUAAAGACCCGCGAAGAUUAGGCAAAUUAGUCCACUGACGCGGUCAGAGCCGCUUCUCUUAUUGUGGGCUUAAUUUUCUUGUAAUCUUGUUUUAAUUUUUUAAGCUUCUCCUGGCACUGUUUCCCGGUGUGAACAAUGUUCAGCUCACUUAACUUGCAGGAGAUAUUCACGUACACCUUAUCAUUGCGGGUCACUGUUUCCAAUUCCCGCUGGAUUUCGUCCUCAGCAUAAAUACUCAAUAAGGCCUGGACUUCGUUGUCGGUCCAUCUGUCAAAUGAUUUCUUCUGUAACUCCAUAUUGAUGUGUCAAAGCACA
Long non-coding RNA from Anguilla anguilla (European eel), 2457 nucleotides. RefSeq lists it as uncharacterized. NCBI's taxonomy places the organism in Eukaryota, Metazoa, Chordata, Actinopteri, Anguilliformes, Anguillidae. The record is from RefSeq and is a predicted model, not a curated record. The transcript is spliced from 5 exons.